GACAGAGGUGCCGAGCGUUAGGCGGAAUCACUGGGCUUAAAGCGUGUGUAGGCGGACGGGUAAGUACCUUGUGAAAUCCCACGGCUCAACCGUGGAACUGCUGGGUAUACUGCCUGUCUUGAGUCAUCUAGGGGCGAGCGGAACAAUGGUGGAGCGGUGAAAUGCGUAGAUAUCAUUUGGAACGCCAAUGGUGAAAACAGCUCGCUGGGAUGAUACUGACGCUGGAGACACGAAGCCAGGGGAGCAAACGGG
RNAcentral lists this ribosomal RNA (252 nucleotides) under uncultured bacterium. Its description in RNAcentral is "partial 16S ribosomal RNA". It matches the Rfam family "Bacterial small subunit ribosomal RNA", at positions 524 to 776 of the family's 1533-position model. The record is from RNAcentral.